GGGGAUUUAGCUCAGUGGCAUAAGCUCCUGCCUGGCAAGCAGGAGGUUGUAAGUCUGAUUCUUGGUACCCCCU
This is a transfer RNA of Cavia porcellus (domestic guinea pig), 73 nucleotides long. It matches the Rfam family "tRNA". Rfam says of the family: Transfer RNA (tRNA) molecules are approximately 80 nucleotides in length. The record is from Rfam. Lineage: Eukaryota; Metazoa; Chordata; Mammalia; Rodentia; Caviidae.